RNAcentral lists this long non-coding RNA (294 nucleotides) under Homo sapiens (human). Its description in RNAcentral is "non-protein coding lnc-ANKRD30A-7:3". The record is from RNAcentral. Lineage: Eukaryota; Metazoa; Chordata; Mammalia; Primates; Hominidae.
UGUCAAUUCUGAGGAAAUCAAUAGGAAGUAAACUAUUCCAGUUCCUAAAAAUGUGAGUGUUUUGUGUGGUGAGAGAGACCACACAUUUCAAAGAAAAAUGAUAGAGAUAGACUGGUAAGUGCUCUCUGCAAGCAUUUAGAAUUUUCUCUGUCUCCUAAAUAUUUUAAGUUCACUGUAAUGUAUCUGGGUGUGUCUUUUUCUUUUGUUUUCUGUUUGGUACUUUAUGAGCCUUUUCCAUUUGUCUUUAUGUCUGGGAAAUUCAUCUUUGCUUUCCUUCAAAUAUUUCUUUUUCUC